This 73-nucleotide transfer RNA is filed under the name Salmo salar (Atlantic salmon). It matches the Rfam family "tRNA". From Rfam's summary of the family: Transfer RNA (tRNA) molecules are approximately 80 nucleotides in length. Their secondary structure includes four short double-helical elements and three loops (D, anti-codon, and T loops). The record is from Rfam by way of RNAcentral. Lineage: Eukaryota; Metazoa; Chordata; Actinopteri; Salmoniformes; Salmonidae.
GUCCCUGUGGCUCAGUUGGUAGAGCAUGGUGUUUGCAACGCCAGGUUUGUGGGUUUGAUUCCCACGGGGGGCC